RNAcentral lists this ribosomal RNA (1374 nucleotides) under metagenome. RNAcentral's name for it is "bacterial LSU rRNA". It matches the Rfam family "Bacterial large subunit ribosomal RNA", at positions 1573 to 2925 of the family's 2925-position model. The record is from RNAcentral.
GAAAUUAGAGUACCGAAGUAACAGAUUCCGCACUGACGAGAAAAGCCACUAUCGAGAGUAAAGGUACCCGUACCGCAAACCGACACAGGUAGGUGAGGAGAGAAUCCUAAGACGAUCGGGAGAAGCAUUGUUAAGGAACUCGGCAAAUUAACCCCGUAAGUUCGCAAGAAGGGGGUACCGAGACUGCAGAGAGCAUAACAGUUCUAUGUAGGAUUGGUCGCAGUGAAAAGGCCCAAGCAACUGUUUAUCAAAAACACAGGUCUCUGCCAAAUCGAAAGAUGAAGUAUAGGGGCUGACGCCUGCCCGGUGCUGGAAGGUUACGGGGAUUUGUAAUCCGCAAGGAGAAGCAAUGAACUUAAGCCCCAGUAAACGGCGGCCGUAACUAUAACGGUCCUAAGGUAGCGAAAUUCCUUGUCAGGUAAGUUCUGACCCGCACGAAUGGCGUAAUGAUUUGGGCACUGUCUCAACUAUGUACCCGGUGAAAUUGUAGUACUUGUGAAGAUGCAAGUUACCCGCGACUAGACGGAAAGACCCCAUGGAGCUUUACUGCAGCCUGAUACUGGGUUUCGGUAUUUUUUGUACAGGAUAGGUGGGAGACUAGGAGGCGUAGACGCCAGUUUACGCGGAGUCGACGUUGGGAUACCACUCUAAAGAUACUGGAACUCUAACCAGAGGCCGUGAACCGGUCUUGGGACACUGUCAGGCGGGCAGUUUGACUGGGGCGGUCGCCUCCCAAAGAGUAACGGAGGCGUCCAAAGGUUACCUCAGCGCGGUUGGAAAUCGCGCAACGAGUGCAAAGGCAUAAGGUAGCCUGACUGCGAGAGCAACAACUCGAGCAGGUACGAAAGUAGGGCUUAGUGAUCCGGUGGUAUGAAAGUGGAAUUGCCAUCGCUCAACGGAUAAAAGCUACCCUGGGAUAACAGGCUUAUCUCCCCCAAGAGUCCACAUCGACGGGGAGGUUUGGCACCUCGAUGUCGGCUCAUCGCAUCCUGGAGCUGAAGAAGGUUCCAAGGGUUUGGCUGUUCGCCAAUUAAAGCGGUACGCGAGCUGGGUUCAGAACGUCGUGAGACAGUUCGGUCCCUAUCUGUCGCGGGCGCAGGAUAUUUGAGGGGAUCUGUCCUUAGUACGAGAGGACCGGGAUGGACCGACCACUGGUGUACCAGUUGUCAUACCAAUGGCACAGCUGGGUAGCCAAGUCGGGCAUAGAUAAACGCUGAAAGCAUCUAAGCGUGAAACUAACCCCAAGAUGAGAUAUCCCAUUCCAGAGCAAUCUGGAAUUAAGACCCCAUGAAGACAACAUGGUUGAUAGGCCAGGUGUGUAAGUGCAGCAAUGUAUUGAGCUAACUGGUACUAAUAGGUCGAGGGCUUGACCAA